This 441-nucleotide ribosomal RNA is filed under the name uncultured bacterium. RNAcentral's name for it is "partial 16S ribosomal RNA". It matches the Rfam family "Bacterial small subunit ribosomal RNA", at positions 338 to 795 of the family's 1533-position model. The record is from RNAcentral.
CCUACGGGAGGCAGCAGUGGGGAAUAUUGCACAAUGGGGGAAACCCUGAUGCAGCGACGCCGCGUGAGUGAAGAAGUAUUUCGGUAUGUAAAGCUCUAUCAGCAGGGAAGAAGCAAGACGGUACCUGACUAAGAAGCUCCGGCUAAAUACGUGCCAGCAGCCGCGGUAAUACGGAGGGGGCCAGCGUUAUCCGGAUUUACUGGGUGUAAAGGGAGCGUAGACGGUAUGGCAAGUCUGAAGUGAAAGCCCAGGGCUUAACCCUGGGACUGCUUUGGAAACUGUUAGACUAGAGUGCUGGAGAGGUAAGUGGAAUUCCUAGUGUAGCGGUGAAAUGCGUAGAGAGUAGGAGGAACACCAGUGGCGAAGGCGGCUUGCUGGGCUUUUACUGACGCUGAGGCUCGAAAGCGUGGGGAGCAAACAGGAUUAGAUACCCGAGUAGUC